RNAcentral lists this transfer RNA (72 nucleotides) under Apaloderma vittatum (bar-tailed trogon). It matches the Rfam family "tRNA". From Rfam's summary of the family: Transfer RNA (tRNA) molecules are approximately 80 nucleotides in length. The record is from Rfam by way of RNAcentral. Lineage: Eukaryota; Metazoa; Chordata; Aves; Trogoniformes; Trogonidae.
GGCUGGUUAGUUCACUCAGUAAAGCGUAGCGCUACCAAUGCUAAGGUUGCGGGUUCAAUUCCCGUUCGGUCC